UUAGGCUGAUGCAAAAGUAAUUGUGGUUUUUGCCAUUCAAAGCAAUGGCAAAGACCCCAAUUACUUUUGCACCAACCU
Molecule: microRNA precursor, 78 nt
Filed under: Saimiri boliviensis boliviensis (Bolivian squirrel monkey)
Lineage: Eukaryota; Metazoa; Chordata; Mammalia; Primates; Cebidae
Description: miRNA (ENSSBOG00000002106.1)
Source: RNAcentral